CCUACGGGCGGCAGCAGUGAGGAAUAUUGGUCAAUGGACGAGAGUCUGAACCAGCCAAGUAGCGUGAAGGAUUACUGCCCUAUUGGUUGUAAACUUCUUUUAUAAAGGAAUAAAAUGAGGCACGUGUGCCUUUUUGCAUGUACUUUAUGAAUAAGGAUCGGCUAACUCCGUGCCAGCAGCCGCGUUAAUACGGAGGAUCCGAGCGUUAUCCGGAUUUCUUGGGUGUAAAUGGAGCGUAGAUGGUUUGUUAAGUCAGUUGUGAAAGUUUGCGGCUCAACCGUAAAAUUGCAAUUGAUACUGGCAGGCGUGAGUACAGUUGAGGUAGGCGGAAUUCGUGGUGUAGCGGUGAAAUGCUUAGAUAUCACGAAGAACCCCGAUUGCGAAGGCAGCUUACUAAACUGUGACUGACAUUGAUGCUCGAAAGUGUGGGUAUCAAACAGGAUUAGAUACCCCGGUAGUC
RNAcentral lists this ribosomal RNA (460 nucleotides) under uncultured bacterium. Its description in RNAcentral is "partial 16S ribosomal RNA". It matches the Rfam family "Bacterial small subunit ribosomal RNA", at positions 338 to 795 of the family's 1533-position model. The record is from RNAcentral.